Molecule: ribosomal RNA, 74 nt
Filed under: uncultured Corynebacterium sp.
Lineage: Bacteria; Bacillati; Actinomycetota; Actinomycetes; Mycobacteriales; Corynebacteriaceae
Description: partial 16S ribosomal RNA
Source: RNAcentral
AAGGCUUGACAUACACCGCGGGGCUGCAGAGAUGUGGUUGCAUUUAGUUGGUGGUGUACAGGUGGUGCAUGGUU